RNAcentral lists this ribosomal RNA (256 nucleotides) under Octactis speculum. RNAcentral's name for it is "partial Bacterial large subunit ribosomal RNA". It matches the Rfam family "Bacterial large subunit ribosomal RNA", at positions 2608 to 2884 of the family's 2925-position model. The record is from RNAcentral. Lineage: Eukaryota; Dictyochophyceae; Dictyochales; Dictyochaceae.
GGUUCAGAACGUCGUGAGACAGUUUGGUCCCUAUCUACUGUAUACGUUUAAAAUUGAGGGGUUUAUUUUCUAGUACGAGAGGACCGAAAAAUGUAAACCUCUGGUGUAUCGGUUGUUUUUUAAGCAGCGCCGAGUAGCUAAGUUUAUUUUAGAUAAUCGCUGAAAGCAUCUAAGCGAGAAACUAUCCCCAAGACCAGUUUUUUAUUUCGUGGAAGAAGACCACGUUGAUAGGCUUGAUGUGUAACUGUAGUAAUAU